AGUGGUUUAGAGCUUGGCUGCUAACCAAAAGGCCGGCAGUUCAAUUCUACCAGCCACUC
This 59-nucleotide transfer RNA is filed under the name Loxodonta africana (African savanna elephant). Lineage: Eukaryota; Metazoa; Chordata; Mammalia; Proboscidea; Elephantidae. The record is from Rfam by way of RNAcentral.